AGUAACACGUGGGUAAUCAACCCCUGACAUCGGGAUACCCCGGGGAAACCCGGAUCAAUACCGGAUAAGGUGCGGAGUCGCAGGACGCCGUACCAAAGGUAGCUUCGGCUUCCGGUCAGGGACGAGCCCGCGGCCCAUUAGCUUGUUGGUGAGGUAAUGGCUCACCAAGGCUACGAUGGGUAGCUGGUCUGAGAGGACGAUCAGCCACACUGGGACUGAGACACGGCCCAGACUCC
RNAcentral lists this ribosomal RNA (236 nucleotides) under uncultured bacterium. RNAcentral's name for it is "partial 16S ribosomal RNA". It matches the Rfam family "Bacterial small subunit ribosomal RNA", at positions 109 to 339 of the family's 1533-position model. The record is from RNAcentral.